CUAAGAAAUGUUAGUCUUAUAAAUUGAAGCUAGCCUAUUACUUUUGGUCAAUUUUCUUUAAAAAAUACAGAUAUAAUUUGCCAUUAACUCCUGGAUGGAAUUUCGGGAACCAUUAUUUGGAUAGGAGAUUUUCCAGAAGAGGACGUACAAUUUAGAUGACGUGCUGCACAUCGUCAAGUGUUCUUCAUCAAAUUGAUCGGGUCUUGCAUCUACAAAUGAAACGGUGUCUGCCACUGCAGUUGAUGUUGAGACAACUCUCAGUCUUCCUGCAAGUCCUCGCCUGAUACCUGUUUUAAGGGCAUCACACCAACAUUUGCAAUUGGACUUGCUGCUAUGUUUGCAACCUACUACAUUUUCAGCCUUCAGUAUCAAGAUGAGACAGCCUGCCCUGUGGAAUUCAAAAUUAAUGUGUUUGCGCUUCAUUGAUAUAAAUCCAGAGAGAGGGACAAAUGCCAAAAUCAUCAAGCAAGGUUGUCUCUAACAAGAAAGGUGUGAUGGUCCAGAAGUCGUCUUCUGCAGUCAAAUACACAUGUGGCCAUGCUACUGAAGAAUCUCCUUGACUUUUUAAUGGAACUUCAUAUAGAUCUUGGCAGCACUGGAAUAAUGCUGCAGAGAGGAACAGCGGCUAUCAAAGUGAUGAUCGUCUCUUCAUCCACAAGAACUAAGAUGUAAAAACACAAACCUACCUCACAGGACAAUUUUAAGAGGUAACCUGCAAGUCUAGCUUGCAGUGGCACAGGUGCCUACCCUACGGUUUCAUCCUAAAUGUUUUUAUGCAUGUUAUUGAUACAUCCUGACAAAAUGUUCUACUGUACUAUAAUCGUUUCAAAAUGGCCUUAGGUAUGUUUUCAAACUUAUGUCUUAAAUAAAAAAGUAAACUAUAGGUUAUGCCCUUCACAUUUGGUAAGGAUUAGGGGCAGUCUCUGACGAGCAAUUUAAGAAUGUUAAGUUUAUUGCCAUAGUCUAAAGCAG
Molecule: long non-coding RNA, 972 nt
Organism: Paramisgurnus dabryanus
Lineage: Eukaryota; Metazoa; Chordata; Actinopteri; Cypriniformes; Cobitidae
Source: RefSeq, a predicted model, not a curated record